GUCUUGGCAUCUUGAUGGA
This 19-nucleotide non-coding RNA is filed under the name Arabidopsis thaliana (thale cress). The record is from RNAcentral. Lineage: Eukaryota; Viridiplantae; Streptophyta; Magnoliopsida; Brassicales; Brassicaceae.